This 29-nucleotide small RNA is filed under the name Bombyx mori (domestic silkworm). RNAcentral's name for it is "ovarian small RNA-18414". Lineage: Eukaryota; Metazoa; Arthropoda; Insecta; Lepidoptera; Bombycidae. The record is from RNAcentral.
UAAAGUGUUGACCAACGCCGCGCGACCGA